RNAcentral lists this ribosomal RNA (1343 nucleotides) under uncultured bacterium. RNAcentral describes it as "16S ribosomal RNA". It matches the Rfam family "Bacterial small subunit ribosomal RNA", at positions 28 to 1378 of the family's 1533-position model. The record is from RNAcentral.
GACGAACGCUGGCGGCGUGCUUAACACAUGCAAGUCGAACGGAAAGGCCCUGCUUUUGUGGGGUGCUCGAGUGGCGAACGGGUGAGUAACACGUGAGUAACCUGCCCUUGACUUUGGGAUAACUUCAGGAAACUGGGGCUAAUACCGGAUAGGAGCUCCUGCUGCACGGUGGGGGUUGGAAAGUUUCGGCGGUUGGGGAUGGACUCGCGGCUUAUCAGCUUGUUGGUGGGGUAGUGGCUUACCAAGGCUUUGACGGGUAGCCGGCCUGAGAGGGUGACCGGCCACAUUGGGACUGAGAUACGGCCCAGACUCCUACGGGAGGCAGCAGUGGGGAAUAUUGCACAAUGGGCGGAAGCCUGAUGCAGCAACGCCGCGUGCGGGAUGACGGCCUUCGGGUUGUAAACCGCCUUCGCCUGUGAUGAAGCGUGAGUGACGGUAAUGGGUAAAGAAGCACCGGCUAACUACGUGCCAGCAGCCGCGGUGAUACGUAGGGUGCGAGUGUUGUCCGGAUUUAUCGGGCGUAAAGGGCUCGUAGGUGGUUGAUCGCGUCGGAAGUGUAAUCUUGGGGCUUAACCCUGAGCGUGCUUUCGAUACGGGUUGACUUGAGGAAGGUAGGGGAGAAUGGAAUUCCUGGUGGAGCGGUGGAAUGCGCAGAUAUCAGGAGGAACACCAGUGGCGAAGGCGGUUCUCUGGGCCUUUCCUGACGCUGAGGAGCGAAAGCGUGGGGAGCGAACAGGCUUAGAUACCCUGGUAGUCCACGCUGUAAACGGUGGGUACUAGGUGUGGGGUCCACUCCACGGGUUCCGUGCCGUAGCUAACGCUUUAAGUACCCCGCCUGGGGAGUACGGCCGCAAGGCUAAAACUCAAAGGAAUUGACGGGGCCCCGCACAAGCGGCGGAGCAUGCGGAUUAAUUCGAUGCAACGCGUAGAACCUUACCUGGGUUUGACAUGGAUCGGGAGUGCUCAGAGAUGGGUGUGCCUCUUUUGGGGUCGGUUCACAGGUGGUGCAUGCCUGUCGUCAGCUCGUGUCGUGAGAUGUUGGGUUAAGUCCCGCAACGAGCGCAACCCUUGUUCACUGUUGCCAGCACGUUAUGGUGGGGACUCAGUGGAGACCGCCGGGGUCAACUCGGAGGAAGGUGGGGAUGACGUCAAGUCAUCAUGCCCCUUAUGUCCAGGGCUUCACGCAUGCUACAAUGGCUGGUACAGAGAGUGGCGAGCCUGUGAGGGUGAGCGAAUCUCGGAAAGCCGGUCUCAGUUCGGAUUGGGGUCUGCAACUCGACCUCAUGAAGUCGGAGUCGCUAGUAAUCGCAGAUCAGCAACGCUGCGGUGAAUACGUUCCCGGG